RNAcentral lists this ribosomal RNA (246 nucleotides) under Acanthamoeba sp. Its description in RNAcentral is "partial small subunit ribosomal RNA". It matches the Rfam family "Eukaryotic small subunit ribosomal RNA", at positions 785 to 1018 of the family's 1831-position model. Lineage: Eukaryota; Discosea; Longamoebia; Acanthamoebidae. The record is from RNAcentral.
UUUUCUGCCACCGAAUACAUUAGCAUGGGAUAAUGGAAUAGGACCCUGUCCUCCUAUUUUCAGUUGGUUUUGGCAGCGCGAGGACUAGGGUAAUGAUUAAUAGGGAUAGUUGGGGGCAUUAAUAUUUAAUUGUCAGAGGUGAAAUUCUUGGAUUUAUGAAAGAUUAACUUCUGCGAAAACAUCUGCCAAGGAUGUCUUCAUUACUCAACACCGCCACUUAAGGGAUCCUAGACGAUCAGAUACGGU